Triticum dicoccoides is the source of this 920-nucleotide RNA transcript. RefSeq lists it as uncharacterized. The transcript has 5 exons. The record is from RefSeq and is a predicted model, not a curated record. Lineage: Eukaryota; Viridiplantae; Streptophyta; Magnoliopsida; Poales; Poaceae.
UUCUGUCCCUCCUCCUGUGUGUGGCGCCGCCGUUGCGCACAGGACACAUCUCAGGCGAGCACUUCCACCCAAUCUCCUCGCCCUCCUCCACAGCUCCGGCCAAGGCGCUCACUUCUCCGGCCCUCCUCCAUAUUCCUCACCUCCACCCCAUCCACUUCCUGUCCUUUGCUUCUCCAAGACUGCAUCAUGGUGCUCGGCGGCUGCGGCAUCAGAGCUGAUGGUGCGCGAGCCGACCAGUUCAAUGGAGGCAGUAGCACGGGGCAGCAGCAGCAGCAGCAUGGAGGGCGGCCACUUGAUCGGCAAGGUCCUAGAACUGCAAAUAGGAGUGGCAGUGGCAAUCACGAUGCAAAUGCAAGUGGUGCCCAAAGAUCUUGCAAAGAAAUUAAAGACAAUAACUUAUAUGAUCCUUGGAACCAUGCAUGGCCGUAUUAUGGUGGUUUUGAUUGUGUGUACUGCAGCCUAAAGUACAAAGGUGGGGGUGCAACCUAAAGAAAAAAGAGACACAAAUUCAAGUGGAAAAGGACGCACCGCCAAGAGAUGGCAAUUUGGAGACCCGUAGAUCUGUACGGCUUGUCAAGAAGAAGACCAAGGAGCAAGGACGUCAACAGCCCAUACCCUGUUGCUUAGAAUCUGCUUAAAUGCCACAUGAAGAACUAAGGAUAUCAAGAAGCUUUUGGAUGUAUGCAAGCUUGGAGCUGCUGUUUUAUAGAAAUGGCAUUUGAAGAAUAACCAAGGAUAUCAAUAAGCUUUUGGAUGUAGGCAAGCUUGGAGCUUCUGUUUCAAUGUCAUGCUUCGAUGGUUGUCUUUUGGAGCUGUUGUUUCUAUGUGUAAUCCUUUAAGUAUGUUGGCUGUACCGGACUAUUUAAACUCUGAACUACACUGUGAUGCUUGAACUGAUGUUGGACUGUUAAGGGUUAUGA